UGAGCAAUCUGCCCUUCUCAUCGGAAUAAGCGUUGGAAACGACGUCUAAUGCCGAAUACGACCUCCUUUCGCAUGAUCGGAGGUGGAAAGCUCCGGCGGAGAAGGAUGAGCUCGCGGCCUAUCAGCUAGUUGGUGUGGUAAUGGCCCACAAGGCGACGACGGGUAGCCGGCCUGAGUAGGGUCGACCGGCCACACGUGGGACUGAGACACGGCCCAGACUCCGUACGGGAGCA
RNAcentral lists this ribosomal RNA (233 nucleotides) under uncultured bacterium. RNAcentral's name for it is "partial 16S ribosomal RNA". It matches the Rfam family "Bacterial small subunit ribosomal RNA", at positions 118 to 347 of the family's 1533-position model. The record is from RNAcentral.